GCUGGCUUUCCACACUGCCUGCUGGCCCCAGCAAAGUACUGGAGCUACCAGGGUGCCCACACCCCCUGAACGACCCGACUCUGGGCAGACACUGCUUCUCACCACAGUAGCUCCCUAAGCGAGGGCUCUGGGGCUAUUUCUGAGCCAGUCUCUGUUCCGGGAAGACGGAGUCUUCAGAUUAUUCAUUCCCCCCACCCCAGGAAGCAAAGCCAGCACGAGCUGUCCUCAGCACGGAGCCCUGUUCCGGGCUCUGCAGUCAGCUGCCUCCCUCUCCGCCUCCUCACCCACAGUCAGGGCUCCUGAUUACGACUGAACCCGCUCCCGGCUCAAAGUUACCCUUUGUCUCAGAAGCCCUGGGCUGGCUCUGACGGCUGGAAAGCCUGAACAACAAUGAUGAAUCAGAGUAUUUAUUUUUGAGGUUUUCUCCAAGCUGCCUCUUCAUCAGCUCUUAAAUAGCAGCAUUCAAGCUGCCACAGACACUUCCAGAAGUUUGCUGGCCUGGGGUUCCUAGUGGGAAAAACUUUGCCUUCUUGGCAACAGAUGCAACAGCUCUCAAAACACCCAGUCUGAAGGAGAGGCACAAGAACCUGAAAUCAUAGAAUCGCAGAGAAAAAGGAGACUCCAGUGUGUCAGUGUCCACCAAGCAGGUGAGUGGCAGGCUGUGACAUUAACAUCCAGAAUCUUUUACAACAGUCCAGGUCAGUGCUUCAUAACGAGUCCAUGUUUCUUGCCCCUAUUUCCUGGUGGAUGUAUUAUAAGUGGAACGAUUUAGGGCUACCUAGGAUCAAACUGCUGCCAUCUUCCAAAAACCUUGAAAACUUUGAACAGUAAACCUCAAAAAGGAGGUGCCUUGAAGCGAUGUAAUUAACGUUAUUUUGGCUUAUUUUGUCCU
RNAcentral lists this long non-coding RNA (892 nucleotides) under Sus scrofa (pig). RNAcentral describes it as "lncRNA (ENSSSCG00005013424.1)". The record is from RNAcentral. Lineage: Eukaryota; Metazoa; Chordata; Mammalia; Artiodactyla; Suidae.